This 6155-nucleotide long non-coding RNA is filed under the name Sus scrofa (pig). Its description in RNAcentral is "lncRNA (ENSSSCG00015013758.1)". Lineage: Eukaryota; Metazoa; Chordata; Mammalia; Artiodactyla; Suidae. The record is from RNAcentral.
UUUGUCACCAUCCAUCUCCCUAGGUGAUGAUAGUCCUGCUUCUUAUAGCAAAUUAAGAAGUCAUGACUUUAUGGUCCUCACUGGGUAGAAUAAUGGCCAGCUAACCAAAAAUUUUGCUUGACUGAUGGAUAUGGGAAUGGAAACCAAAAAUUUCAAAGUCCUUGGCAAAUUUUUGAAAGACUUCUAAUCUAUUAAUUCAUUUUCCAUUCAUUGAGUCUUGAGGCAUUCCAGAAUAAAUGCAGUGAUCAGAGAGAACACAAAGUGUAGAUAUCAAUUUUAGCGACUGAAUUAGUUAUUUGAAUCACUGAGUUCUGAUAUGUGAACACCUCACUAGCUAUGGGACUGCUUGUGAAAUGGAGUGUGCAGUGCUCUUAUAAUUGGGCAUGGCGAUUGGGUACUGUCACCUGAAAAACAAAUCUCACCACUCUGAUCACAUUUCAGUAAAAUAACUGGCAUUUCUUUUCUUCCUCCCCUUGUGAUUUCUUUGUCUUUAUUCAAUGACAGCUUUUUAGGUUAGAAUUUGGUUGCACACAACUCCAAGUUCCAUUCCUAAUAGGAUGGGGUUUCCUCAAUAGUGUGGACACUGAGAAGUCUAGGAGGCAUCCCACAGCUCAGAGAAGCUGUUGUGUCCUGUCAGCAGUGGCUGGAAGGUCAGCCCAUGACUUAGGGCUAGAGGUGAUCCAAACCCAUCCUACCCAACUUCUUUUCCACUGAAUGGUCAAGUAAAAUUGGAAGCCCAUUGGUCUUUGAGCUGGAUCUUUUCUCUCUUUUUAAUACAAAUGAUUUGGGGAAGUUAAUGUACAGAUGGCAAGAGUGGAUCUUAAGAGGUAGAAAUGUGGGAAGUAGAACCUUAAACAUUUGUUUUAAGAUAGGCGAGAAGUGUUGACUGUCCCUCCCCUGGUUAUCUUUACAUUUGUUUACUACUUCCCCUUCUUUGACUCAGCUCUCCUAAUUCAUGUUCUCAUGUUGGAUUUCUUUCUAUUCCCUUUAUUGUCUGGUGUCUCAUUGCCUCUUCUUGCUCUUCCCCUUCUGCAAUGCAGUAGUACCUGAAAUUGAAGCUCCCUUUAAAAAAAAAAAAAAAAGAAGCCUGAGGCUAAAAACAAUAUUUGCUUAUUACUUCUUCAUUACAAAUAGACAUGAUAAGCAAAAGAGAAAUUUUUCUGUUAUUUCAAACUAGAAAUUAAUCAAAAGUUUUGAAGAAUUGUAAUUAUAUAUAGAGAGGUAUAAUUUCUUAUUUUUCUUAACUAUUUAAGAUUUUAUUCUAUAUUAUCAAUUUAAAAUUAAUUUUAGUUUCUUAUUUUGCUUUCAUCUUUACUCCUUCUCCAUGCCACAAAAGCGAAAUUAAAUUUUAUUAGCUUUAUGGAAGGCCUGUUAGCUUCAUUGGAGAAAGAGUCUUCCCUUGCUCACUUCAGGAUUUAUCUAUUCUUGUAUUUCGUUCUGGAAGUGAGGAAAAUUAGAAGAACUUGAUGUCCAUAUUUGUUCUUCCCCAUGGAAUUUUGAUUCCACUACAACCCCUUUCCUGAAUGUGUAAAACAGGGAAUGUCAUUUCAUUUCCUUACAUUUAUUUUUAUUUUAUUCUGUAUCCCAAUAUCUGUUUUCCUUUCUUUUUUAUCUUAAUAUCUCCUAUUUGUCCCCUUUAUUCCCUUUCAUUUAACCUCAUUUUGAUAGAGUAGUAUGAGUCAGCAUGAGAGAAAAGUUAGUUUUUGUUAUUUUCUUUGAAUGAAAGGUUGGGAACAAAAGUAAUUCCUUCAACUUGAUGAUGUUUACCAAAUAAACUGGUACAUUACUAUAAGUUUUCUAAACUUAUAAUUCACUUUAGUGAAGUAGGAAUUCUGUACUUGAUUUUAGAAAUACUGGAAACAUACACUUCAGCAUCUAAGGAAACUUGCUAGAAUGAAUGUGCGUAUAUUUGCAUUCCAGUAGUGGUUGGGUUUGAAAAUUUAAUAUGUUUUUAUCACAAAAAUCUACAUAAUACUGAAUUACCUAAAGAGAGAUUGGAGUUAAUAAAAGCACUGUCACCCAAACCAUUGUCCAACUAGAAACCUUGUAGUCUUCCUGUCUUUACUUUUCAUUCCCUCCACUACACCCAACAUUUCCAUAUAGCAGGAAUAAUAUUCACAGUGUUGUGCAAAACAUGUAAAUUUUAUGUAUUUCUAGUAUAAAACUUGAAUUGUGACUCUAAGCUUCCAGGGUGUCUAGGUAAGCAAUUUAAGGUUUCAGGUAAUUUCAAUUCAAUCCAGUACCUUUAGGGUCACUUUUAAAUUUAAAACUAAGUCAUUGCAAGGAUCAGCCUCCUGAUCUUUCUUUGGAAAGAUCUAGAUGUGGGGUUGGGAAAGCAUAUGUAGCAUCAUGUGUCAGGAUACAGAGGUGUGCAUUCUUGAUCCUAAUUAAAUGUAUCAGUAUAGAUAGUAUACUGUAAUUACUUCAGUUAGUGGAGAUCAAGAAACCCUCCUAAUACAGAAUCAGUUUUCUCAGAGUAACUUAAGUCUUAGCUUCAACAAUUAAUACUAUCUGGCCUGUGGUUUCCUCCUAAGCUGGUCACUUUGCACUGUACUCUUGUGAUCUCUAGCACAUGAACUAUCUCCACUCCGUUUCCUCAGUGAUGAGUCCACACGAAAGUUGGCGGUUUUCUUCUACCAACAUCUUUGAGAACCAUGGACCAGUCAUGGGGAUUGUUUAGAUUGGUUCCUUGCUUGUGCCUAUCUGUGCAUGAGCCAUAUACAAGCAGCUGUUAUCCCAAUAUCUAGAGGUAGCAAUUUUAAGUGUUCUGUGUUUAAAACAUUAAUGUACAGUUGAUAUUAGUCACUCUUGAUAAUAAUAUUCAUACUACUAUUACUGCUGUAAUCAUGUAACACCUACAUAGCGAUUAAAAUUUGCCACAUACUAUUAGAAGUGCUGGAAAUAUAUUAACUCAUUUAAUUCUCAAAAAAUAUAAUGAUAUACACAAUACUGUCCUCAUUUUGUAGAUGAGACACUUAGGGUAUAAGGUUAAAUAGCUCACCCCAGGUUGUAUUUAAACAGCCGAACCAGGUAAUAUGACAUUAGGGUCUGUCCUCUUGAUUCCUAAAGUUGAUGGGGGACCUCCAUGUAUUUUACUUUUCUCACUUCUGCCAACUCUUUUGUCCUCAGUGGCCUAGGGGUUGGUCUUAGUUGGGGGAUGGUGCUGGUGGGUUGUGGGGGAACUUGUUCAUUGGAGAGAAGAUCUCAUUUGCUUUCGUAUACCCCACUGACUCUCCCCUGAAUUCUAACUUUUUAGAUUCAGAAACUGCAGAUUUGAGAUCUUUUUGUUGCUCUUUUCCUUCUCUUGCCCCCAAUAUCUGACUCCUCCCAGUAAAAGGAUGCCCUUAUAGUCUAAGGUCUAGCCAGUAUUGGUCACAUGGAAGGAAAAACAGAGCACAAUAGUGUUUCAAAUUGUUAAUCUGUCUAAAAUACACUCACCAAAGAAAUUCGCUUUAUCCUAUUUCCUGCAGAUCUAUUAGUUGACCCUCAUGAAAAUGCCACUUUUGUACGUUAAAAAUGGUGAAUGGCAACGAUUUCAUGUGGUUACCCUACUUUGACUCGAUCAAUUUCCUUAUAGGCUCCCAAUCAUUGCAAUGAUUCAGGCCACCAUCAUCUCACAACUAAAAGUCAUCCCAGUAGUGUUUUAAUGGAUCUUCCUGCUUCUCAUUUUGCCCUCUCCCAUUUGUUUGUUAUGCUUCAGCUAGAGUAAGCUUUAUAAAAUACAACAGUAUUGAACCACUCCUCUGUGUAAAAUUCUGUAAUGACAUCUGAUUGACCUUAGUAUAAAAUCCAAGCUCCAUUAAUGUGGCUUAUAAGUCAUGUAGCCAUACGUCCAAGCUAGUCUCUGACAGCCCUGGUUUUUCCUCCUGCCCCGGGCUAAUUAUUAAUGGUACCCCCUUUUAGUCUCACAAAUGGCCUAGUUUGGAUGAUGAAUUAUAUGAUCACUGUUUUUAUAAGGUACUCCAUGAUCUGGCCUCUGCUUUUCUCUCCAGCCUCAUCUCUCACCACUUUGAAUUAUAAUCGGAGCUGUAGCCACCCUGAACUCCUUUGGAUUUAUAGACCGUGUCAUGUACUCUCUCUCUCAGUUUUGAAUUUGGGCCCAUGAUGGUGUCGUUGCCUGCAAUACCCCGCUGUUAGCCUAAUUCAUGCCAGUUUGUCAGGAUUGCAUUUAUAUACUUCCUGCCAGAAGAACCUCUUGAUCUCUAGACCAGCUUGAAUUCCCUGGUUUUCUGACUCAUAUUUGCUCUAUACAACCCUAGUCAAAUCCUCUUCCCAUUUCACCAGGUUUGAAUCUAAUUUCUGUGCUUCCUUUCAGAGUGUUAGUUCUGGCAAGACAGUGCCCUCAGUUUACUCACUACUCUAUUCCUCGGGCUUAAGGAGUGGUUAUUGUUUCAUUGAUUUUACUAAAAAUAUAUUUAUCUGUGUUGACUACAUUUAUGAGACAAAAACAAUUUUAGGGUGACUUUGCUGUUUGACAUCUGCUCCUGAAUUUUUACGAGAGAGAUGUUGAGAGAAUAUACACUGUAAUAAGGGAGAAGAAGAGAAAGGGAGACCAGAAGAGGACCAAGUCUUGAGUAUAAAGAAAAGAAAAAAAUAGAAACUGAGAGCCUUAGAACUGACAAUUUGGAUGGACACCUACAUGCUGCUUCUGAUCUUCUGAUCCUGUCUUUCCUCUGCUGCUCCCACUUAUCUUAGCAGGGGCACUGAAAAAGCCUGAAACCCCAUUGCAUUUUACCUGCAGUGUGCAAACUUAUUACAACUUCAUGUAUAGUAACAUAAUUUUCAAAGUAAUUAUGUUUGAGUUUGAAGAAGUAUUGGACUACAGUAAUCUCUCCUUUUCAAAGUUGGUAAGAGUUAUGUUAAAACAAAAACAAAACAGUUUCGGAAAUGGUGCCUGAAAGCAAGGGCUGUUUAAAUCCAAUUGAUGGCAUUCACUUCCAGAAGGCAAAAGUGGGAAGCUGUUUGUAAGCUCUUGUUGUAAGUCAUUGUUUGCAGGGUAUUAUUGUGGGUUGAAUUGUGUCCUCAAAAAAGAUAUGUUGAAGGUUUAACCUCUGGCACCUAUGAAUGUGUGACUUUAUCUGGCAAUAGGAGCUUUACAGAUGUAAUAAAUUGAGAUGAGAUCAUUCUGGGUUAAUAUGGGCCCUAAUCUUAUGUGACUGGUGUCUUUAUAAGAGGAUGAGAGACAAAGAUACAGGGAGGUCAUGUGAGGAUGGAGGUAGAGAUUGGAAUGAUGCAUCUCCAAGCCAAGCAACACCAAGGAUUGCUGCCACCACCGGUAGCUAGGAAAGAGCCACGGAAUAGAUUCUUCCAUCUUGAUUUCAGGUUUCUAGCCUCCAGAGCUACAAAAGACCAAAUUUCUAUUCUUGUUAAGUCACCCAGUUUGUGGUAAUUUAUUAUGAUGGCAUUAGGAAACUAAUACAGCAAUUGUAAAAGGAAAAAAAACUAUAUCCAAUAUAUUUGAUACAGAAAAGAUGGAAAUAGAAAUGGCAGAAUGAGCAGAUUUAAAUUCUGUGUUGUGAUUUCUUAUCACUCUCAAUCCCACUGCUCAUUCUUUUAAUAACACAGUUCCGCAAUGACCCAUCUACAGUAGUAGACUGAUCAGUGCUCGGCCAGGCUGUAAAAGUGCAUAAACUCUGAAGUCUCAGUAGCUGAACAUUACAGAGGUUUAGUUCCAUCACACAAAGUCAGAGACAGGCCCAUACAGCGACUCGGGGUCCCUAUGCUCCUCCUUUUGUGCUGUCUCCAACUCAGCAAUUGGCUUCCGUGGUUGCAAGGCCAGAGGAUGAGACAAGUGCUUCAGCUAGGAAGUCACACACAUUUCUCUGAUCUACAUUUUAUUAUCAAGAAAUAGUCAUAUGGCCUUACUGUCUGCAAGGGUGCUGAAAAGUAUAGGGGUCACAGGAGUAUUUGGUGAGACCCACUCUCUCUCUGCUAAAUUAUAAUGGCAAAAGAAAAUAGGCUUCAAAAUCUAUGAAAAUCACACUCUCUUUUCAAAGAUUCCAGCUACUCCCCAAUUUUAGUUUCAAUUUUUAUCCUAGUAAUAGUCUUUUAAAAGCUUCUUUUCACAUAUAUACAGCUAUCACACACAUUCCAUUUCUCAGUGUUGUAUUUGUUCAUGCCAGAACUAGCAAUUGUAAAAAAAACCUUCUUCUCCA